UUGUUGGGUAGGGGAGCGUUCUGUAAGCCGUCGAAGGUGGCCUGUGAGGGCUGCUGGAGGUAUCAGAAGUGCGAAUGCUGACAUAAGUAACGAUAAAGCGGGUGAAAAGCCCGCUCGCCGGAAGACCAAGGGUUCCUGUCCAACGUUAAUCGGGGCAGGGUGAGUCGACCCCUAAGGCGAGGCCGAAAGGCGUAGUCGAUGGGAAACGGGUUAAUAUUCCCGUACUGGGUGUUACUGCGAAGGGGGGACGGAGAAGGCUAUGUUAGCCGGGCGACGGUUGUCCCGGUUUAAGCAUGUAGGCUUGAGUUCCAGGCAAAUCCGGAACUCUUUAAGGCUGAGGUGUGAUGACGAGGCACUACGGUGCUGAAGUAACAAAUGCCCUGCUUCCAGGAAAAGCCUCUAAGCAUCAGGUAACAUCCAAUCGUACCCCAAACCGACACAGGUGGUCAGGUAGAGAAUACCAAGGCGCUUGAGAGAACUCGGGUGAAGGAACUAGGCAAAAUGGUGCCGUAACUUCGGGAGAAGGCACGCUGGCGCGUAGGUGAAGGGACUUGCUCCCGGAGCUGAAGCCAGUCGAAGAUACCAGCUGGCUGCAACUGUUUAUUAAAAACACAGCACUGUGCAAACACGAAAGUGGACGUAUACGGUGUGACGCCUGCCCGGUGCCGGAAGGUUAAUUGAUGGGGUUAUCCGCAAGGAGAAGCUCUUGAUCGAAGCCCCGGUAAACGGCGGCCGUAACUAUAACGGUCCUAAGGUAGCGAAAUUCCUUGUCGGGUAAGUUCCGACCUGCACGAAUGGCGUAAUGAUGGCCAGGCUGUCUCCACCCGAGACUCAGUGAAAUUGAACUCGCUGUGAAGAUGCAGUGUACCCGCGGCAAGACGGAAAGACCCCGUGAACCUUUACUACAGCUUGACACUGAACAUUGAGCCUUGAUGUGUAGGAUAGGUGGGAGGCUUCGAAGCGUGGACGCCAGUCUGCGUGGAGCCAACCUUGAAAUACCACCCUUUAACGUUUGAUGUUCUAACCUGGCGCCGUGAUCCGGCGUGGGGACAGUGUCUGGUGGGUAGUUUGACUGGGGCGGUCUCCUCCUAAAGAGUAACGGAGGAGCACGAAGGUCAGCUAAUCACGGUCGGACAUCGUGAGGUUAGUGCAAUGGCAUAAGCUGGCUUGACUGCGAGAGUGACGGCUCGAGCAGGUGCGAAAGCAGGUCAUAGUGAUCCGGUGGUUCUGAAUGGAAGGGCCAUCGCUCAACGGAUAAAAGGUACUCCGGGGAUAACAGGCUGAUACCGCCCAAGAGUUCAUAUCGACGGCGGUGUUUGGCACCUCGAUGUCGGCUCAUCACAUCCUGGGGCUGAAGUAGGUCCCAAGGGUACGGCUGUUCGCCGUUUAAAGUGGUACGCGAGCUGGGUUUAGAACGUCGUGAGACAGUUCGGUCCCUAUCUGCCGUGGGCGCUGGAGAAUUGAGAGGGGUUGCUCCUAGUACGAGAGGACCGGAGUGAACGCACCACUGGUGUUCGGGUUGUCAUGCCAAUGGCAUUGCCCGGUAGCUAAGUGCGGAAAAGAUAAGCGCUGAAAGCAUCUAAGCGCGAAACUUGCCUCGAGAUGAAUUCUCCCUGACUCCUUGAGAGUCCUGAAGGGACGUUGAAGACUACGACGUUGAUAGGCCGGGUGUGUAAGCGCAGCGAUGCGUUGAGCUAACCGGUACUAAUGACCCGUGAGGCUUAACCUUACAACGCCAGAAGCGUUCUG
This 1749-nucleotide ribosomal RNA is filed under the name Erwinia sorbitola. RNAcentral's name for it is "partial 23S ribosomal RNA". It matches the Rfam family "Bacterial large subunit ribosomal RNA", at positions 1221 to 2925 of the family's 2925-position model. The record is from RNAcentral. Lineage: Bacteria; Pseudomonadati; Pseudomonadota; Gammaproteobacteria; Enterobacterales; Erwiniaceae.